GGCCGCCUGGCGAAACGGCAUCGCGUCUGACUACGACCUCGGGUGUUUAACGUAGGUUCGACCCCUGCGGUGGUCA
Molecule: non-coding RNA, 76 nt
Organism: Trametes pubescens
Lineage: Eukaryota; Fungi; Basidiomycota; Agaricomycetes; Polyporales; Polyporaceae
Source: Rfam